CGGCAGUGGCCCGAGUGGCGGACGGGUGGGUAACGCGUGGGUAACCUGCCCGUGUACAGGGGACAACAGCCGGAAACGGCUGCUAAUACCGCAUAAGCCCGCGGCGCCGCGAUGGCGCUAGCGGGGAAAACUCCGGUGGUACAGGAUGGGCCCGCGUCUGAUUAGCUAGUUGGUGGGGGUAAUGGCCUACCAAGGCAACGAUCAGUAGCCGGCCUGAGAGGGUGAACGGCCACAUUGGGACUGAGACACGGCCCAAACUCCUACGGAAGGCAGCAG
RNAcentral lists this ribosomal RNA (276 nucleotides) under uncultured bacterium. RNAcentral's name for it is "partial 16S ribosomal RNA". It matches the Rfam family "Bacterial small subunit ribosomal RNA", at positions 81 to 354 of the family's 1533-position model. The record is from RNAcentral.